RNAcentral lists this long non-coding RNA (1121 nucleotides) under Nicotiana benthamiana. Its description in RNAcentral is "long non-coding RNA (NBEN_LNC023581)". The record is from RNAcentral. Lineage: Eukaryota; Viridiplantae; Streptophyta; Magnoliopsida; Solanales; Solanaceae.
ACAUAUUUAGAUCAACAAUUCUGAGUAGACAAUUUGGUAACCUCAGGUUCCACAAAUGACUAAACUUUCUCAUUUAGUCAAUUUAUUGUACUACUACAAGAACAACAACAACAACAACAACAAAUCUAGUAUAGUCCCACAUAGUGGUCUGGGUAGGUUAGUGUGUACGCAACCUUGCCCCUACAUUGUUGAGAUAGAGAGGUUGUUUCCAAUAGACCCUCGGCUCAGGGCGUUCAUUUACAUAGUAAAUGAGUAAUCUCCAUCUCUAGAAGUUCACUUUCGUGUACUCUUGGCAACCUGCAUAAAAGUCAAGUAACUAUAGUCUGUUAUUAACUUAAUUAUAAGGGUACUUUUAAAUAUUUAUGGCAUUGAAAUCCAACAAAGGAAACCUCAUACCAGACUAAUAAGAAAAAAAUUUGAGUUUUGUCAAGAAACAUAUGUUCCAUAAUGGCAUAAUAGACACAAGACUCAGAAUUAACUAACAUUUGCUAUACUAGUUCAUUUCUUUAUUAUACUCGUCGUAUUCAGGUUCAUUCUGAUGCUGAGAAGAUAGAGGAGCGUAUAGUAGAGACGACAAUACUGCUACAUUACCUCGGCAUUGGUUUUGGUAACCUCACAGCAACAAUUGAGAAUAUUCCCCCUGGAGCCAUUGAGUCAGAGGACGAAGCAGCAGAGAUUAUCGCGAAAGCAACGUCUAAUUGCUGCGGAAAAUUAUGUGGUAUCUGUUGCUGUUGUGGUUGCUGUAUUAGGACAUGUUCAAAGAUGAAUCAUCAGUGUGCAAUUGCACUCUCACAAUUGCUAGGUGCAUUGGGAUGUUUAGGUUGCUUUGCUUGUUGUCAAUAUUGCUGCUGUGGAAAUGAUAAGUGAGAAGAAAUUACAAACUUAACUUACCACAAGAUUUUGUUGUCAAAUAUGACAGAUUAUACAAUUAGAUGAUAGUGAACAUUUUUCAUGGGUUUUUUUCCUGUCAAUACUGCUUCUGUGGAAAUGAUAAGUGAGAAGAAAUUAUAAGCCUUAAAUUCCACAAGAUUUUGUUGUAUGUUGUGUCAAAAAUGAGAGAGUAUACAAUUAGAUGAUAGUGAACAUGUUUCAUGUGUUUUUUCUCUCCAUAUUUUUUCAUC